RNAcentral lists this transfer RNA (84 nucleotides) under Fibrobacterales bacterium. RNAcentral describes it as "tRNA-Leu". It matches the Rfam family "tRNA". From Rfam's summary of the family: Transfer RNA (tRNA) molecules are approximately 80 nucleotides in length. Their secondary structure includes four short double-helical elements and three loops (D, anti-codon, and T loops). Further hydrogen bonds mediate the characteristic L-shaped molecular structure. tRNAs have two regions of fundamental functional importance: the anti-codon, which is responsible for specific mRNA codon recognition, and the 3' end, to which the tRNAs corresponding amino acid is attached (by aminoacyl-tRNA synthetases). tRNAs cope with the degeneracy of the genetic code in two manners: having more than one tRNA (with a specific anti-codon) for a particular amino acid; and 'wobble' base-pairing, i.e. permitting non-standard base-pairing at the 3rd anti-codon position. Lineage: Bacteria; Pseudomonadati; Fibrobacterota; Fibrobacteria; Fibrobacterales. The record is from RNAcentral.
GCCGGGAUGGUGGAACUGGUAGACGCGGCGGACUCAAAAUCCGCUGUCCGCAAGGACGUGAGGGUUCAAGUCCCUCUCUCGGCA